GAUGAACGCUGGCGGCGUGCUUAACACAUGCAAGUCGAACGGGAAUUAUUUUAUUGAAACUUCGGUCGAUUUAAUUUAAUUCUAGUGGCGGACGGGUGAGUAACGCGUGGGUAACCUGCCUUAUACAGGGGGAUAACAGUCAGAAAUGGCUGCUAAUACCGCAUAAGCGCGCAGAGCUGCAUGGCUCAGUGUGAAAAACUCCGGUGGUAUAAGAUGGACCCGCGUUGGAUUAGCUGGUUGGUGGGGUAACGGCCCACCAAGGCGACGAUCCAUAGCCGGCCUGAGAGGGUGAGCGGCCACAUUGGGACUGAGACACGGCCCAGACUCCUACGGGAGGCAGCAGUGGGGAAUAUUGCACAAUGGGGGAAACCCUGAUGCAGCGACGCCGCGUGAAGGAAGAAGUAUCUCGGUAUGUAAACUUCUAUCAGCAGGGAAGAUAGUGACGGUACCUGACUAAGAAGCCCCGGCUAACUACGUG
RNAcentral lists this ribosomal RNA (478 nucleotides) under uncultured bacterium. RNAcentral's name for it is "partial 16S ribosomal RNA". It matches the Rfam family "Bacterial small subunit ribosomal RNA", at positions 28 to 507 of the family's 1533-position model. The record is from RNAcentral.